UAUAGUUUUAAUUUGACUUUUUCUAAACUCUAGUAGCGUCAAAAUUUUUGUUUGUUCACUGUAAGAUAAAGUAGAAUUCUAAGAAAAGUGUAUUCAUGGAAUGAUAUGCUAAAAAUUACUUAUCAACAGUUAAAAUAUUCCAUUUGAUAACAUAAUUGCAUAAUACGUAUAAAAGAGGAUAUCUGAAAAAACAAGCGAAGAGUACGUCAGGAAGCACACACAGCGUUAUCAUCUAACAAAGCAUUCCAAUCUCAAGUAUUGCUUGCUGAUUUUGAUGAGCUUUUUAUGUUUUGCAAGGAAUAUCAUAAAAAUAAGUCAGAAGAUUUAUACAAUGCAAGAAAUUAUCACCAGAGAGAGUUACUCAGAGUACUGUUCAUCAUGGAAGACAGACAUGAAAUACAUUCCAUGCAGAUGCUCUUUCAACCUUUAUAAUCUCGCUUAUUAUAGUGUUUACGUCUAGAGUACAGACAAUAGCUAGGUCAAUAAUUCUUGAUUGACUCGUGUCACGUGAAAUAAAAUCAGAAAUGCGAAAGA
Long non-coding RNA from Camponotus floridanus (Florida carpenter ant), 534 nucleotides. RefSeq lists it as uncharacterized. NCBI's taxonomy places the organism in Eukaryota, Metazoa, Arthropoda, Insecta, Hymenoptera, Formicidae. The transcript is spliced from 2 exons. The record is from RefSeq and is a predicted model, not a curated record.